GGGGUGGGUGGGGGUCCGCGGUACGGCGCCGUGAGCGCGCCGCCUGGGAAGGCUUCCGGAAGCCGCUCCUACCGGUAAAGCUCGCGGCGGCCGCAGCUCCCAUCCCGGCUGAGCCACGGCUGCUGGGACUCUGCCCCCGCCGUGCCGGGGAACCGCCCGUCCUCGCUGCGGGAGGAAGCGCCGCUCACCUGCGAGCAGCCGGGCGGAGGUUGGGGGUCCUCUGCCUCGCCUCUGGUCCGGCGCCGGCGGGACUGGGGCGCUGGGGAGGACGGGAGGAUCUGCCCGCUCCCGAUUGCUAAACUGCUAAGCGAGAUAAUGACGAGAGGAAAAGGAUUGACGAAUGGCUUGGGUGGGGACAGGUGAUUUCAGGGGUAAAUAUGCGCGGCGCGGUUGGGCGAGGAGAGGUGCGGGAGCCGAUAGCCGCCUGCAGAUGUUUGGGGAAGGUAAUCCCCGGGCCGGGGGUGGGGUUUGCUCAGAGCAAAAAGGCACGAUGAAGAGCAACGGGAUUAAACGAGUGAGAGGGACGCGUUUAGUGAGAUUACGGGGCGGCAGACCCCCCAGACCCUCCCCGACGCUGGAUCAGUAGAUCAGAUCAUUCGGCUCGCUGGCUGCAAGGAGCGCAGCAGGACGGGACAGCAGCUCCUGCCUCUGCAGCAAGCGGGAGGCUCCUCUGCCCCCGGCACAGACACCUCUCGGUCCUGGGCUCGGCCCGAGUGGGGUUAAGAAGCGAGCCUUUGCCCCUCUGUAGGAGCAGGGAGCCAAGCAGCACACCUCAGCGCUGGCCGGGUGGCUGCCAUCGCACGGACAACAGUGCUGCUGAUGCCUUCUCCAGACGAGACGCCCAAACAAGGCAGCUACCACCGGAACAGAGCAAGACAACUUGUUUAUCAGACAGAGGAAUGCUCCUCAGCAGUGCAGGGCAGGAGGAAGAGGGGGCUGCUGUCUCCAGGCCCAGCGUAGGCAGUUCAGAGAUGGCCUGCAUUGUUCUACAUCAGGAUAACGAGGCGCUUCCGCAGCCCCUUUCCUGUGGGAAUCCCAACAGGUUGUUGUCCUCCCCCUGCAGGAGGGGAAGUGUGGCACCAGGGGGGUGAAACGUCCCAUCUGACAGAUGUCUGCACUAAGUAGUACGUUCUUCUCUCCGCCUUCGGUGCUUUUCCUAGUCUUGAGCACCAGCCUUCACCUCUUCAGCCUUCCCUCCCACGGUAGAUGCAAGCAACGUGCGAGAUAUCUCCUAAGAAUGGAGAAAUGAGACAGCUCAACGCUGCGAUUUAGUAACAGAAGCAAAAGGGGACGUUAAUGGAAAACGAUUGCAGCUCUGAGUAAGACCCAAGAUAGGAAUUUCCCUUCUCUGUAAGAAAUCAGCUCAGAUUCUGCUGAUUGGGAUGCUCGGGAAAGGAUAUGACUAGCUCAGUGGCAGGGUCUCUCUUCCUAUAAACUGCAGAGCAAGCCAGGAUAACCAACUUGCACUUCGGCUUUGUCAGACAGACCUCGCCUUCCUUCCACAGUGAGUCCUACAGGGAGGUGAACCCAGCCAGCCUGAUUCACUGAGCCCUUCCAGGUGUGUGCUCAGCCAUCCACUGGCACAAGCACUGGCGAGGGCAAAGCAAAGGCCAGGCUGGUGCACAACACCAUGCUUUUUAGGACCCUGUUCCUGCAGGUCUCUAUCCACAGAGAGUAAGGCUUGAGAAGGAAGGAAGGUGCAGGUGCACGCCUGGACCUCAUCCCAGUCUGGCUUUGGGCGUCGAUGGAGUGACUGCUGUCAGUUGUGAGGGUCACUUCUGCACACAUACAGCCCCAGCUACCAAUUCCUGAGCACCUAAAUGAGAGAACCAUGCUCUCGCAGUUUGCUGGCAAGAUAUAGCCAGCAAAUUCUGGCAGUGAAUGUGGAUGCUGGUAUAUAAAGAGAGGAUCCUGCCAAUGGGACUAAAGGGUGUUGGUGCUUUUUCCAGUGCAGGUUAUUUGGCUUUGAGUACUAGUAAAAGUUGCACUAAUAAAAUGCCUCUAUUGUGUGCAGACUCUA
This is a long non-coding RNA of Gallus gallus (chicken), 2020 nucleotides long. RefSeq lists it as uncharacterized. The record is from RefSeq and is a predicted model, not a curated record. Lineage: Eukaryota; Metazoa; Chordata; Aves; Galliformes; Phasianidae. The transcript is spliced from 2 exons.